RNAcentral lists this unclassified non-coding RNA (931 nucleotides) under Hevea brasiliensis (rubber tree). The record is from RNAcentral. Lineage: Eukaryota; Viridiplantae; Streptophyta; Magnoliopsida; Malpighiales; Euphorbiaceae.
AAAUGAGGCCUCAAAUACAAAAAUGCAUUGUUACACUAUAGCAUAAUUGUAUCUUUGAAGAAAAUUGGUGGAUAAUCAAUUGACGAACAAGGAAGCAAAACCAAUCUACAAUCACAACAAUUACGACUACUACGAUACUAUUUCUCUAAUAUUCCAAAAUUCCUUCAUUUUAAGGCAAGGGAACAAAAAAAAAUAUAUAUGUAGGACUGAGUAGUAGGGUUCCGUUUUACCCCCAUCAUGGGUCUCUAGUGCUUUAAUUCCUUCUACCUUUGUUACGCUUUGUAGAUACUGUCGUCCACCCGUCUGGGUCCACUUCAGCUGGCUGCUUUCUCACGGGUUCAACUAUCAUAUCCUGACCCAAACUUGGCUGGCUUUCCAUAGAAUCAAUUGCCAUAUCGGAUGAAUUAUUGCCAAAGUUCUCAUUUCGGUCAUCCCCAUCAUUACUACUGUCAUCGUCAUCACUAGCAUCUUGUCUGACAUAAGUAGCAGGUCUCCUCCCAACAUUUGUUUCCCUUAGCACUUUGAUUGAAUUGAAAUCCCCUUCCAGACACUCUUCAUGCAUAUACAUCAAUUUUUCUGCUACCUCCUCAAGGCUGCCAUCAUUGACUUCAGUAUUUAGAGAUAUCAUGAACUCAUCUAGAAUUUCUUCUAUAUCAUCCAUGUAUACUUUUUCUUUGGAUUGUGUAAAAGCGGAAAAAAUGUCAACAUUGAGUUGAUUGGAUUUCUCACGAGUAUCUCGGCCACCCCACUCGUUCUCGAUAGCCAUCUGAAGAGCAGUCCAUCUAGUUAACACCAAACCGAUACCUUCCUGUAGCUGUGCAGCUGCCUCCGCCGUCAGCUGCUGAACUGGUGCGUUGCUGCUGCCGCCGUCCAUUCUAAACACUCCUCGCUUCAGUAGGGUUUUUGCCGGAAGAAGAAGUUUUGGGAGAAG